RNAcentral lists this ribosomal RNA (540 nucleotides) under Ocnaea sp. SLW-2002c. RNAcentral describes it as "partial 16S ribosomal RNA". The stretch from base 404 to 540 matches the Rfam family "Archaeal large subunit ribosomal RNA", at positions 2542 to 2680 of the family's 2987-position model. The record is from RNAcentral. Lineage: Eukaryota; Metazoa; Arthropoda; Insecta; Diptera; Acroceridae.
UAUCAAAACAUGGUUUGAUGUAAUUAUGAUAUUAAAUUAAACCUGCCCCAAUGAAAUUUUAAAUGGCUGCAGUAUUUUAACUGUACAAAGGUAGCAUAAUCAAUAGUUUUUUAAUUGGAAGCUAGAAUGAAUGGUUUAAUGAAAUAAUAACUUUAUUAUUAUAAUAAGUUGAAUUUUAUUUUUUAGUAAAAAAGCUGAAAUUUGUAUAUUAGACGAGAAGACCCUAUAGAUUUUUAUAUAAUUGGAUAAAUAAGUAAUUUAAGAAUUUUUAAUAUUGAAUUAAUUUAAUUUAUUUUAUUGGGGGGAUAGUAAAAUUUACUUAAUUUUUAUUAUAUGUGUAUAACCAUUAAUAUAUGAAUAUAUGAUCCAUAAUAAUAUGAUUAAAAAAUUAAAAUACCUUAGGGAUAACAGCAUAAUUUAUUUGGAAAGUUCUUAUUGAUAAAUAAGGUUAUGACCUCGAUGUUGGAUUAAGAUAAAUUUUAGGGGUAGAAAUUUAAAUAUUGAGUCUGUUCGACUUUUAAAAUCUACAUGAUCUGAGUU